Molecule: ribosomal RNA, 492 nt
Filed under: uncultured bacterium
Lineage: Bacteria
Description: partial 16S ribosomal RNA
Rfam family: Bacterial small subunit ribosomal RNA
Source: RNAcentral
AGUGAACGCUGGCGGUAGGCCUAACACAUGCAAGUCGAACGGCAGCACAGUAAGAGCUUGCUCUUACGGGUGGCGAGUGGCGGACGGGUGAGGAAUACAUCGGAAUCUACUUUUUCGUGGGGGAUAACGUAGGGAAACUUACGCUAAUACCGCAUACGACCUACGGGUGAAAGCAGGGGAUCUUCGGACCUUGCGCGAUUGAAUGAGCCGAUGUCGGAUUAGCUAGUUGGCGGGGUAAAGGCCCACCAAGGCGACGAUCCGUAGCUGGUAUGAGAGGAUGAUCAGCCACACUGGAUCUGAGACACGGCCCAGACUCCUACGGGAGGCAGCAGUGGGGAAUAUUGGACAAUGGGCGCAAGCCUGAUCCAGCCAUACCGCGUGGGUGAAGAAGGCCUUCGGGUUGUAAAGCCCUUUUGUUGGGAAAGAAAAGCAGCAGGUUAAUACCCCGCUGUUCUGACGGUACCCAAAGAAUAAGCACCGGCUAACUUCGUG